AGAGUUUGAUCCUGGCUCAGGACGAACGCUGGCGGCGUGCUUAACACAUGCAAGUCGAGCGAUGAAGCUUCCUUCGGGAAGUGGAUUAGCGGCGGACGGGUGAGUAACACGUGGGUAACCUGCCUCAAAGUGGGGGAUAGCCUUCCGAAAGGAAGAUUAAUACCGCAUAAUAUAAGAGAAUCGCAUGAUUUUUUUAUCAAAGAUUUAUUGCUUUGAGAUGGACCCGCGGCGCAUUAGCUAGUUGGUAAGGUAACGGCUUACCAAGGCAACGAUGCGUAGCCGACCUGAGAGGGUGAUCGGCCACAUUGGAACUGAGACACGGUCCAGACUCCUACGGGAGGCAGCAGUGGGGAAUAUUGCGCAAUGGGGGAAACCCUGACGCAGCAACGCCGCGUGGGUGAUGAAGGUCUUCGGAUUGUAAAGCCCUGUUUUCUAGGACGAUAAUGACGGUACUAGAGGAGGAAGCCACGGCUAACUACGUGCCAGCAGCCGCGGUAAUACGUAGGUGGCGAGCGUUGUCCGGAUUUACUGGGCGUAAAGGGUGCGUAGGCGGAUGUUUAAGUGGGAUGUGAAAUCCCCGGGCUUAACCUGGGGGCUGCAUUCCAAACUGGAUAUCUAGAGUGCAGGAGAGGAAAGCGGAAUUCCUAGUGUAGCGGUGAAAUGCGUAGAGAUUAGGAAGAACACCAGUGGCGAAGGCGGCUUUCUGGACUGUAACUGACGCUGAGGCACGAAAGCGUGGGUAGCAAACAGGAUUAGAUACCCUGGUAGUCCACGCCGUAAACGAUGGAUACUAGGUGUAGGGGGUAUCAACUCCCCCUGUGCCGCAGUUAACACAAUAAGUAUCCCGCCUGGGGAGUACGGUCGCAAGAUUAAAACUCAAAGGAAUUGACGGGGGCCCGCACAAGCAGCGGAGCAUGUGGUUUAAUUCGAAGCAACGCGAAGAACCUUACCUGGACUUGACAUCCCUUGCAUAGCCUAGAGAUAGGUGAAGCCCUUCGGGGCAAGGAGACAGGUGUGCAUGGUUGUCGUCAGCUCGUGUCGUGAGAUGUUAGGUUAAGUCCUGCAACGAGCGCAACCCUUGUUAUUAGUUGCUACCAUUAAGUUGAGCACUCUAAUGAGACUGCCUGGGUAACCAGGAGGAAGGUGGGGAUGACGUCAAAUCAUCAUGCCCCUUAUGUCCAGGGCUACACACGUGCUACAAUGGUAGGUACAAUAAGACGCAAGACCGUGAGGUGGAGCAAAACUUAUAAAACCUAUCUCAGUUCGGAUUGUAGGCUGCAACUCGCCUACAUGAAGCUGGAGUUGCUAGUAAUCGCGAAUCAGAAUGUCGCGGUGAAUACGUUCCCGGGCCUUGUACACACCGCCCGUCACACCAUGAGAGCUGGUAACACCCGAAGUCCGUGAGGUAACCGUAAGGAGCCAGCGGCCGAAGGUGGGAUUAGUGAUUGGGGUGAAGUCGUAACAAGGUAGCCGUAGGAGAACCUGCGGCUG
Molecule: ribosomal RNA, 1491 nt
Filed under: Clostridium botulinum
Lineage: Bacteria; Bacillati; Bacillota; Clostridia; Eubacteriales; Clostridiaceae
Description: bacterial SSU rRNA
Rfam family: Bacterial small subunit ribosomal RNA
Source: RNAcentral